This 856-nucleotide long non-coding RNA is filed under the name Olea europaea subsp. europaea. The record is from RNAcentral. Lineage: Eukaryota; Viridiplantae; Streptophyta; Magnoliopsida; Lamiales; Oleaceae.
CACGGACGUCUGAGGGAGAAGAGUGUAAGAGAGCACUAAUUAGCUUCCAAUCGUCGCGAAUCUCGUCACCGGCAAACCAACCAUACAAAAUUGAUUUGGGCACACUUAAAAGCCCAUAAAAGAAAAAUGGUUGAGGUUGGCAAGCAUUCCAAAUAGAACCAAAAAAUCAGCGAACUCAUCGCUGCUGGCCGCCACGAACUCGAACAUCAGAGUCUUCAUCUUGCCAAGUAAGGUUCUUCUAUUUUAGUUUGUUGCAUUUACUAUAUGGGUUCAAUUUUAUUUGCAUAAAAAGCUGAAAAUAACAUUCUCUAUCGGGUACACAAUGGUGAUUGGCUUAGCUGCAGACUUUGGCUAUGAAAAAUGCACCUUGCUAGAUGUCACUAAAUUUACGCUUCAAGAGAACUUUUCCCUCUUGACUAGUAUUCAACCUUGCAAGAUGAUUCUUCGUGUCCAAUACAUAUGCUUUGUCAGAUUAUCUCUUUGGCAUUUUCUGCAAUUGCGUAUCUACAAAAAUGCUUCAGUAUGGAGAAGCAUAAAUUUAUUGCCAUCUGGUGUAUCUACAAAUAGGAAUUUUCUCUUUACUAUCAUGUUUGUCACGAUAAUAUUUGCAAGCGUAAAUUUAGUGCAAUUCUCUUUGUCAUUCUCUGUAAUAAUUGCAAGAGAAUUGGAAAAUGCUAUUUGGAAGAGAAUUGGAAAAUGUUGACCGUGUUUGUUGCCUACAGUAGUCAUAGAUUUGUUUAGGUUUGUAAUUUGCAAUGUUGAGGUUGUUCCUUGUGUUCAUUGUAAGUGUUAUGCGCUAAAUCCAAUCGAUUUAGGUUGUAAACACUUUUAAUAUGUUUAAUGUAUUUAGUCCCCG